AAAAAAAAAAAAAAAAAACUGUACAAGGAUGUUUUAAACUGCUAGCCAUUUUUUUAUAAGAUUUUAUCAAUUUGGUCAUCCACUUAAUCUAAGUGUAACAAAAUUACAACCUCUUUUAGUCAAUAAAGGGACCCACUAGGUGAUAACUGUAAGUUGACAUGGCAUGAUUGUAAACUCUCCCUCCCUUCACAAUACAAAGUGGGAAUUGAAGUUGGCAUAGAACAAUUUGAUAAGCUGACAGGUCAUCUCAAUGUUAUUUUUCUUUUGUCACAUCAAUUCACAAUUAUCAACCAACGAACACGCUGGCUCCAUCACAAUAUCGACACCACCUAAUUAAUGAUGAUUAUGGAUGGAACACUACACAGGAUAUUAUUGUUAUGCUACAUGAUUGAUCCUAGUUGAUGAAAUUAAAAAAACUUGUCAAUAAUUAAUAUAAUCCAUAAGCACUAAAGGAUAGUAUUAUUCACACUUCUGUUCUGGAAGAAUAAGUGGAAGGUAGUAUGAAAAGGUUCCUAAUAACUGUAAAAGAAAACUUUGAAUAUUCAUAAACUGCAAUUAAUAACAUGCUACUUUCCAUAAUAUAAGAAGGCUCAUCUACACAUAGCACAAUGAUGUCAAGAUAAAAUCAAGCAAGUUGAAACCAAAGUGGAUAAGUAAGAAGGAGGGUUAAGGCAUUUCUUGAAAUCGUAUAAAGAAAGUGAAGUCAUUCCAACUACUAAUAAAUAAUAGAUACAUAUGCCUCCCAAUGCCCCGUACCAUCCCCUUCCUCCUCUCUUCUGUUUGAAGAGAGAGAGAGAGAGAGACAG
Molecule: unclassified non-coding RNA, 806 nt
Filed under: Hevea brasiliensis (rubber tree)
Lineage: Eukaryota; Viridiplantae; Streptophyta; Magnoliopsida; Malpighiales; Euphorbiaceae
Source: RNAcentral